CUUCGGAUUCUGAAUUGCUUUCCCUGGGAGUUGCCCUGGAGGUUUUGGAGCAGAAGUAGAUGCAGAUUGUCCCUCUAAGUAUCGGACUUUGGAAUUCAAUGCCUCUACUUUGACAUUCAGGUCAUUGUAGCUACAGUCCAGCUUAUUGUGUAAUUCAGAUAUCUUCUUAGCAAUCUCCAUGGAGCCAGAUGCUUGUCCUUGGAGAAGCUGUUGUAGCAUUUGCUUCAUGUCAGAAUCAGG
RNAcentral lists this long non-coding RNA (240 nucleotides) under Arabidopsis lyrata. RNAcentral's name for it is "long non-coding RNA (ALYR_LNC000246)". Lineage: Eukaryota; Viridiplantae; Streptophyta; Magnoliopsida; Brassicales; Brassicaceae. The record is from RNAcentral.